Molecule: non-coding RNA, 1281 nt
Organism: Aphidius gifuensis
Lineage: Eukaryota; Metazoa; Arthropoda; Insecta; Hymenoptera; Braconidae
Source: the annotation of a RefSeq genome assembly
AUUUAAUUUAAAAUAUCUAAUAAUAAUAAAUUAAAUUAAAAAAAAUUAUUAAAAUUUAAAAAAGUUAUUAAAAUAAAAUAAAAUAAUAUUAUUUAAAAUAAAAAUAUUACAAUCAAAUAAUUUAAAAUUAAAUUAAAUAUUUUUACCUUUUGUAUCAGGGAUAAUUAAAAUUUAAUUAAAUCAUUAAAUCUCGAAAAAAAAAAAAUUAAGUAUAAAAAUUUUUAUUAUAAAAAUAAUAUUUUUAAUUUAUACUUAGAAACAAUAUAUUAAACGAUUUUUUUGAUAUCUAGUUAUUUAAUAAAUUAAUUUAAUUAAAUUAUAAAUUAAAAAUAUUUUAAAAUAUUUUAUUAAUAUUUUUACUUAUAAUAAAAAUUUAGGGGAUAAACUCUUAAUUUUUAAUUACAAUUAUAUAAUUAUUAACUUAAUAACAUAAAUAUAAUAAUAAUUAAUGUUAAUAAAUAUAUAAUAAUUUAAUUAAAAAUAUCUAAUAUUUAUAAUAAUUUAAAAAUUUAUUAAAUUUUGUUAAUUAAUAUAUAAUUAAUAAAAUUAAUGAUUAUAUAAGUAAAUAAUAAUUUUUUUAAAUAUAAAUUUAUAAUAAAAAUUUUAUUAAUGAAUUAAGCAAAUAAUUAUAUUCACCUGUUUAACAAAAACAUGUCUUAUUGAUAAUAAUUUUAAGUCUAAUCUGCCCAAUGAAAAUUAAAUGGCUGCAGUAUCAAUAACUGUACAAAGGUAGCAUAAUAAUUAGUUUUUUAAUUGAAAACUAGAAUGAAAGAUUAAAUGAAAUAUAAACUUUAUAAAUAAAACAAAAAUUUAAAUUAAAUUUUAAGUUAAAAUUCUUAAAUAUAAUUAAAAGACGAGAAGACCCUUUAGAAUUUUAUAUUAAAUAUAAUUAAAUUUAUAAUAUUUUAAAUAUAAAUUAUAUUUAAUAUUUAAUUGGGGUAAUUUUAUAAUUUAAUAAACUUUUAAAUAAUUAUAACAUUAAUUAAUGAUUAUAUAAUCCUAAUUUUUAGUAUUUUAAAAUAAAUUACCUUAGGGAUAACAGCGUAAUUUUUUUUGAAAGUUCACAUUUAUAAAAAAGAUUGCGACCUCGAUGUUGAAUUAAGAUUAAAUUAAAAGCAAAAAUUUAAUAUUUUAAGUCUGUUCGACUUUUAAAAUCUUACAUGAUUUGAGUUAAGAUCGGUGUAAACCAGAUCGGAUUCUAUCUUUAAAUAAACUUAACAUAAUUGUACGAAAGGAAUUUAUGAUAAAAAUAAUUUUUAUAUUUAUAAAUAUAAAAUAUAA